Molecule: ribosomal RNA, 941 nt
Filed under: Misolampus goudotii
Lineage: Eukaryota; Metazoa; Arthropoda; Insecta; Coleoptera; Tenebrionidae
Description: SSU rRNA
Source: RNAcentral
CAAGGAAGGCAGCAGGCGCGCAAAUUACCCACUCCCGGCACGGGGAGGUAGUGACGAAAAAUAACGAUACGGGACUCAUCCGAGGCCCCGUAAUCGGAAUGAGUACACUCUAAACCCUUUAACGAGGAUCAAUUGGAGGGCAAGUCUGGUGCCAGCAGCCGCGGUAAUUCCAGCUCCAAUAGCGUAUAUUAAAGUUGUUGCGGUUAAAAAGCUCGUAGUCGAAUCUGUGUCCCGCGCCGCCGGUUCAUCGUUCGCGGUGUUAACUGGCGUGCCGCGGGACGUCCUGCCGGUGGGCUUAGCUCGAGAGGGCGGCCCAACUCAAUCCCGCCGCGGUGCUCUUCAUUGAGUGUCGAGGUGGGCCGGCACGUUUACUUUGAACAAAUUAGAGUGCUUAAAGCAGGCUAAAACUUCGCCUGAAUACUGUGUGCAUGGAAUAAUGGAAUAGGACCUCGGUUCUAUUUUGUUGGUUUUCGGAACCCCGAGGUAAUGAUUAAUAGGAACGGAUGGGGGCAUUCGUAUUGCGACGUUAGAGGUGAAAUUCUUGGAUCGUCGCAAGACGGACAGAAGCGAAAGCAUUUGCCAAAAACGCUUUCAUUGAUCAAGAACGAAAGUUAGAGGUUCGAAGGCGAUCAGAUACCGCCCUAGUUCUAACCAUAAACGAUGCCAGCUAGCGAUCCGCCGACGUUCCUCCGAUGACUCGGCGGGCAGCUUCCGGGAAACCAAAGCUUUUGGGUUCCGGGGGAAGUAUGGUUGCAAAGCUGAAACUUAAAGGAAUUGACGGAAGGGCACCACCAGGAGUGRAGCCUGCGGCUUAAUUUGACUCAACACGGGAAACCUCACCAGGCYCGGACACCGGAAGGAUUGACAGAUUGAGAGCUCUUUCUUGAUUCGGUGGGUGGUGUUGCAUGGCCGUUCUUAGUUGGUGGAGCGAUUUGUCUGGU